RNAcentral lists this ribosomal RNA (492 nucleotides) under uncultured bacterium. Its description in RNAcentral is "partial 16S ribosomal RNA". It matches the Rfam family "Bacterial small subunit ribosomal RNA", at positions 29 to 507 of the family's 1533-position model. The record is from RNAcentral.
AGUGAACGCUGGCGGUAGGCCUAACACAUGCAAGUCGAACGGCAGCACAGUAAGAGCUUGCUCUUACGGGUGGCGAGUGGCGGACGGGUGAGGAAUACAUCGGAAUCUACUUUUUCGUGGGGGUUACGGAGGGAAAAUUAACGUAAUAACCGAUACGACCUAACGGGUAAAGGCAGGGAACCUUCGACCCUUGGGGGAUGGAUUGGGCGGAUGUCGGAUUAGCUAGUUGGCGGGGUAAAGGCCCACCAAGGCGACGAUCCGUAGCUGGUCUGAGAGGAUGAUCAGCCACACUGGAACUGAGACACGGUCCAGACUCCUACGGGAGGCAGCAGUGGGGAAUAUUGGACAAUGGGCGCAAGCCUGAUCCAGCCAUACCGCGUGGGUGAAGAAGGCCUUCGGGUUGUAAAGCCCUUUUGUUGGGAAAGAAAAGCAGCAGGUUAAUACCCCGCUGUUCUGACGGUACCCAAAGAAUAAGCACCGGCUAACUUCGUG